RNAcentral lists this ribosomal RNA (159 nucleotides) under Clostridium sp. C10S13. RNAcentral describes it as "partial 16S ribosomal RNA". It matches the Rfam family "Bacterial small subunit ribosomal RNA", at positions 340 to 516 of the family's 1533-position model. Lineage: Bacteria; Bacillati; Bacillota; Clostridia; Eubacteriales; Clostridiaceae. The record is from RNAcentral.
UACGGGAGGCAGCAGUGGGGAAUAUUGCACAAUGGGGGAAACCCUGAUGCAGCAACGCCGCGUGAGUGAUGAAGGUUUUCGGAUCGUAAAACUCUGUCCUUGGGGGAGAUAAUGACGGUACCCAAGGAGGAAGCCACGGCUAACUACGUGCCAGCAGCC